ACUCCUAUGGGAGGCAGCAGUGGGGAAUAUUGGACAAUGGGCGCAAGCCUGAUCCAGCCAUGCCGCGUGGGUGAAGAAGGCCUUCGGGUUGUAAAGCCCUUUUGUUGGGAAAGAAAUCCUGUCGGCUAAUACCCGGCGGGGAUGACGGUACCCAAAGAAUAAG
RNAcentral lists this ribosomal RNA (163 nucleotides) under uncultured bacterium. RNAcentral's name for it is "partial 16S ribosomal RNA". It matches the Rfam family "Bacterial small subunit ribosomal RNA", at positions 335 to 490 of the family's 1533-position model. The record is from RNAcentral.